AUUGAACGCUGGCGGCAUGCCUUACACAUGCAAGUCGAACGGUAACAGGUCUUCGGAUGCUGACGAGUGGCGCACGGGUGAGUAAUACAUCGGAACGUGCCCGAUCGUGGGGGAUAACGAAGCGAAAGCUUUGCUAAUACCGCAUACGAUCUACGGAUGAAAGCAGGGGACCGCAAGGCCUUGCGCGAACGGAGCGGCCGAUGGCAGAUUAGGUAGUUGGUGGGAUAAAAGCUUACCAAGCCGACGAUCUGUAGCUGGUCUGAGAGGACGACCAGCCACACUGGGACUGAGACACGGCCCAGACUCCAACGGGACGCAGCAGUGGGGAAUUUUGGACAAUGGGCGAAAGCCUGAUCCAGCCAUGCCGCGUGCAGGAUGAAGGCCUUCGGGUUGUAAACUGCUUUUGUACGGAACGAAAAGACUCUGGUUAAUACCUGGGGUCCAUGACGGUACCGUAAGAAUAAGCACCGGCUAACUACGUG
RNAcentral lists this ribosomal RNA (482 nucleotides) under uncultured bacterium. RNAcentral describes it as "partial 16S ribosomal RNA". It matches the Rfam family "Bacterial small subunit ribosomal RNA", at positions 30 to 507 of the family's 1533-position model. The record is from RNAcentral.